Long non-coding RNA from Nelumbo nucifera (sacred lotus), 858 nucleotides. RefSeq lists it as uncharacterized. Lineage: Eukaryota; Viridiplantae; Streptophyta; Magnoliopsida; Proteales; Nelumbonaceae. The record is from RefSeq and is a predicted model, not a curated record.
CUUCAAAGUUCCCGCCUCCCGCGUUCGUUCUGGUCCUGCGUUCAACAAGAUAGGCGCAAAGACACUUUUUGAUCGAGAGAAUGCAAUAGAUUGCUUGACAGUAAGAGAAUGCAAUAGAUAGUAGCUCCGUUCCAUUGUUUUUUUUUUUUUUUUUUGUUGAGGAUGCGAAAGGAUUGAUUGGUGGCUCUAUUCCUUCGUUGUUCGACUGGGGACGUGAAGAGAUCGAUUGGUAGCUCUGUUCCAUUGUUGGUGGCUCUAUUUGCGUGAAUCGAUCGUUGAGGGAGGGAAAUCCAAAAUUUUGUGAAAGCGGAGGGAAAAACUUAGAGCCAUUGUCAAUCAAUAUUAAAGGGGGAGCCAAAUGGUUGGUUAAUAAAAUUAAAGUUGAAAGUGUAGAUCAUGAUGCAAGUGUGGACAUCUGGAGCUUUGGCGUGUUGUGCUAUGAAUUCCUUUAUGGGGUGCCAGUUGCCACCUUUUGAGGCAAGGGAACACUUAGACAUACUGAAGGUAGGCUAAAAUUCCGGCUAGCUGAACCCUUUUUAUUUAUUUGAUUUCUAUACUACUUCCAUGUUAAUUGAAUUAACAAUACGUCUCUUACAUGUCCUGUUGGCUCUGACUUGAAUAUGCAUGUAUGAGCUGCUCCAAGCUGACCUUGCAGUUGCUAGCUUUAGCAAGCUUUCACUAGUCAGUCUUCAAAGAUUAUUUUCACACAAUGGGUCUGCAUUCAUGGAUCUAUAUAAGCAAAUUAUAGAAAAGGCUCCCUCUAAGAGGAAGCUUACCAUCCGUCUUCUGAUUCAAUCUCCCUCUUUUUUUUCCUUUUCCAUCUUUCUCCAAGAUUGGCAUGUAAUUAUGUAUUUUGUA